RNAcentral lists this long non-coding RNA (404 nucleotides) under Manihot esculenta (cassava). Its description in RNAcentral is "long non-coding RNA (MESC_LNC004888)". Lineage: Eukaryota; Viridiplantae; Streptophyta; Magnoliopsida; Malpighiales; Euphorbiaceae. The record is from RNAcentral.
ACCAAGCCAGUAACACUCUGAAGGAAAAAUCAACAAGAAGAAAUGAAUGAACUACUCAUAGAAGUUGCACAGAUCAAUACCUAAGCCUGUGAUGUCAAACAAUUAGCCUCCCAGUCAAUUUUCGUUACACUAGGCUGAAGAAAAGGAAAAGAGAGAGAGGAGGCGAGAGGACAAACAACAAAAAACCAAACAGAAACAUAACAAAAUAGCUUCUCAAAGCACAGAUGCCAGACUCAAAUAAUGGCACGCAUCCAGCAAUAUCCAGAUGCUAGACUCAGGUAAAACAAAAAAACACCAUAUACGGGUUUUUUAAAAGCUAACUCUCUAGUCUCUAUCCAAAUGAAAAAAGCAAUUUGCACCAACCCAGAGAUAGAGCAAAAUCUCAUACAAGGAAACUACAAGAA